GGCGAUGGUUACAGACAGGGCAUUGAAAAUCCGGACGUCACACACACCGGCUUGUGCCCAACACAUGCCUUGAGUCCCAGGUCCACUUCACGCACUGGUUAUUAGUGUCCAUUUUAUUUUAUAAUGUGGGUAUGUAGUGUGAUUGAUAUUUUAUCCAUUAGACGUUUGGGGAUUGUGAUUGUGAAUGUUCUAAAUUAUUAAAAGUUCAUGGACGUCUUAAAUUAUUUUGCUUUUGCCUAUGUUCUUAAAUGACUAAUUAAAUGAUAAUUUCACACAUGUCAAUAGAUUGAUAAACAAAACAAAUGGGAAAAGACACUUUCUGGUUCUCCAAAGCUUCGAUGUGGCUUUUUCAAAGGCGGUCUACUUUGUAACAUCAUUAUUAAAGGGACAUUUUAACAUUUUACGCUAAACUAAAAGACUGUUUUUCUGUCAUGACUAGUGUAAAUUAUCAGUGGAAGUAAUAUCAGUAAUAUAUUCCAUUGUGUUACCUCUGCUAGAACUCAUAGCAAUUAACGAAUAUUGUGAUGUGGAUGAUGAUGAUGAUGAUGAUUUUAAUUAUUAAUAAUAAAACAACUGGGAAGAUGGCGACAUAUUCAGCAACUUUGAGUAAAUACCAGUUAUCAAAUAAUGAGACAAUAACCUGACUGCAACAGUUAAUAAACCAAAACAUCCUGUAACACUGAUUUAGCAGAAAGUUAAAGGCCUUCCUGAAUAAAAAGGUGUUUGGGCCAGUCUUAAAAGAGUCCAGGGUCUUUGUUGCCCUUAUUUGGGGGACUGCUCCAAAAGAGUAAAAGCCCUGUCGCAUUGUGAGAAGCUUAUGGUGGAGCUUGGUGUUGGGAAACGAGUAAAGGAAAGGAGUAGCGGUCGGAGGUAGACGUGGGGAUGUGUGGCGGUGCAAACCUCAAGCCAGGCUGAGGGUGCAUCCCUGGGAUGAACAGCACCGUCUCCAGCUGGUGAACCAGAGAGCUGCUUCAGAGGCACCGGGUCCUGCCCGCCUGAUGGUGAUGCCGCCAUAAGGCAGAGUACUAAACGAGCUUUCAGAGGGGCUGCAUGGCCUCAAUCUGCCAUCUGAUUCCUCCAGCUACGCUGUGGGGGGAACACACACUGUCAAAAAGCGUUGUCUUUUUUGUUUCACUUUAAAGAGCUGUUUUUAAAAAAUCUGCUCGCUGCUUCUGGGUGACUCACAUUUCUUGGGUCGCAGUUCCGUCGGCACGGACUUAAUUCAAUGUCAUCACGUGAUACAUGGACUUGUGGGAAACACCUCCACCAGACGGUCUUUCAAUGGCCCAUUUCCAUCCGAAAAUAAAGCCUAUUAGUUUAAUAACAUUUUUAUGAUAUAAAUGAGUUUAAAGUAUGGUUAAGCAAACUAACACCAAACAUUUUUGUCGGUUUUCUCCAGACAUCACACCAGUAAUGGAUUCAUAUAGGAGUCGGCAGUGUUCGGUUUCUCUGGUUUUAGUUUAAUAAAGAUUCAUUUGAAUUAUUUGACAAUGCUGACAGGGGAAGCAGCUUUUGAGAUCUCUCUCUCUUUAAUAGCAGAACCACCGCAAGUGGAGCUGUGCUCGUCAACCUGGCCUCCAUGUGCUUCAGGCACCGGCAGAUCAAGGCAUCCGCCACUUUGGUGACCCAAUAUCUCAACCACAUGUGGACAAGUCCCGCUAGUAAUGCAAAUAUUUUGUUUUCAUACAUUCUCCCGCUGCCUCCGGGCAACGUCUUCAAGUAGGGAGGUACGAGAUGAAGCCGAGCUGGAGCUUCCUGCCGAGAGCGGGGAGGUAAAGAAAUCCAAGUGUUCUCUGAGAAAACGUCUUAAUCUUCUGCGCCGCGGUUGCAAAGAGGAAGCUGUCAGAGGCCUCUGAUGAUUGAAAUAGGGAGCUGCUGCUUGGCUGUAUUUUCUGCUUCUACUGCACACAACAACAUUGUGAUGAAUAGGACUUUUCAGGAGUCAACCCACCGGCUGCAGUUUCAAAUUAUAAGCAUUACAUGUCAUUUUUUGCAAUUACAAUAGAGUCCCACGGGUAAUUCAUCAUCGGUUAACAAUAUAAACACUACUUACUUAAUGAUCCUAUCAUUGCGGAGUCUUCCUUGGAUGAAUUCUGGGUUUUGUAGCAAGCACCAGAACCAGGUUUAACUUUUAUAGAUUUAAAUUAAAUGGUAUCCACUCGUCUCGUCAUAUAGCAUAUCAAGGAGAGGUAUAUAGGGGUGAUUAAAAGGUUUUCUGAAGAGACAUGGUGUUCGCAAACACUAAAAUCUUCCUCCUGUGGUGUAGCUUGAACAUGAAGCAUCAAGUCAAUUUGUUUUUCCUUAUUUCAAAGAUUCAAAGACUGGCUCCUUUUCAGAUAAACAGGGAGUAGCUUGAGGUUUUUUGCUAGGUUUAGCCCUGGCCACUCGGAGCUACUGUCUGCACACUCCCACUUGACCAGAGCGGCCUGGCAGGAGCGUUCUCCUUAAACAUCUGUCUGUGAGGUAUAUCGGUCGGUUUCAGCAUUACCUCAUAUUUAAAUGCCAGUGUAUGACUUUAGAAUAGGAUUGAUGUGGUCUGACCUUUUGGUCCCUACGAGCACUGCAGCAAGCCAAAUAAGCUGAAGCUUUCUGAUGGUCAGUUUGAGGAGCCCUGUCAGAAGAACAUGCACAAGUCAACUGUCACGGUGUGGUUUAUUUCCAAAACCAAGAAAUUCCAAAGGGCCAAGGGGCAAAAAUACCAGCAGAAACCAAGAACAUCCAACAAUCAACAAUGACAAGAGACACAAGUGACAAGAGACACACACAGCUUAAAUACACUAGGGAGGUGCAGGUGAUUGGUCACAGGUGGAAACAAUCCGACAAUCACAGGGGAUGACAGGACAAGGCAGGAAGUGAAGUUACCCAGGGAGACAAGAAGGAGAAAACUACAAAAUAAGACAAGAAAUAAACUACACCGUGACAUCAACACUGCUGUAAAUAAAAUAAAAUGUUUCCAGGUCUGCUUUGACAUCAAGUCCCUGAGUGUGACUGUAUUUGUAUGGUAAUGAAAAAAAUGUAUUUUGUGUUGCUAUUUAGACAAAUCACAGUCAACUAUAAUGGUAACCACUGGUCAAAAAUGUUGAAUUUCAUCAUUUUUUCACCAACAAAAUAUUAUAAUAAAAAAGAAACGAUUGCUAUGAUUACGACACUGAAAUCAGUUUGUCUGAAUGCAUGUGUCAUUCUGUUUUCAUUAUAAAAUGUGACUUCCACAUUUAGCGAAACCACUCGAAAAUUUUAAAUGUCAUUUCAUAAUGUGAAAAAAUGUAAUGUAAAUGUAAAAUGUAAUGUAGCAUCUGUUUAUUACAAAACGCAGCAGGUCAUCAGAAACAGUGUUAUAGGAACAGCCAUAUUUCUCUCUGCUUCAACUACGGAUUGUCGGUGCAGCAUGUUUUACUUCUUUUCCCCAUCCCCUUCCACUGAGGCACUGGUUCCCAUGUCUGUGUGAUAUGAACCUAUUAGUGUCCAUCAGAGUUACAGAUUAUUACAUCUGCAUUAUUCUGUCCCUUUUGCACUAAAUGGACAGAAUUUAAUUAAUUUAUUCCUUCGAAUAGUCAGCAGUGAAUUAACACUUCAUCCCAGUCAUUUCACAGUGAUAACAUGACUGAGCAAACACUCAGCUUGUUAUUUAUUCUGCACACUUUCCCAUCUGUGUGUGUUGACAGUUUGCAUCCUCUGUUGAGUUCACGUUUAAUCGGAUUAUAUAUGUCUUAUAAUAAGAUCCCUUGGCUUGGAGGAUUGUUGUUUUUCCACACUCAGGGACUUGACACUGCAAGCGAUGAGCUCUCGCUCUCAUAGUGGCAUCUGGAGCUGAGCUCUCUCUGAAUGCCUCUCGACCCUCCAUUGUUGAAGGUGAAGAGGUGAAGGUAUUAAGAAACAGUUGUCUAUCGACACAUCAGCUUUCAAAAAAUCUCUUUUGCUGCUGAAGCCUCCAUCAUGUCCCCCCGCUGCUCUUUUACAAUAAGCAGGGAGAGUACAGUCAGAUACUUUUACAGGUAGAGUAUAAUUAGAUAUUUUUUAGAGUAGAGUACAAUCGGAUACUGUAACAAGUAAAGUAGAGUACAGUCAGAUACUGUUACAGGUAGACUACAGUCGGAUACUGUUAAGUAAGGUAGAGUAGCGUCGGACACUGGCACAGGUACGAGCAGCAGUGCCUCGUAUUCAAUUGCCAGUGUAGUCAGAUACUGUUACAGAUAAAGUAAAGCAGUCAGAUACUGUUACAGGUGGAGUAGAGUACAGUCAGAUACUGUUACAGGUAGAGUAGUACAGCCAGGUACUGUUACAGGUAGAGUAGUACAGCCAGGUACUGUUACAGUUAGAGUAGUACAGCCAGGUACUGUUACAGGUAGAACAGUCAGAUACUGUUACAAAUAAAGUAAAGCAGUCAGAUACGGUUACAGGUGGAGUAGAGUACAGUCAGAUACUGUUACGGGGUAGAGUAGUAAAGCCAGGUACUGUUACAGGUAGAGUAGUACAGCCAGGUACUGUUACAGGUAGAGUAGAGUACAGUCAGAUACUGUUACAGGUAGAGUAGAGUACAGUCAGAUACUGUUACGGGUAGAGUAGUACAGCCAGGUACUGAUACAGGUAGAGUAGAGUACAGUCAGAUACUGUUACAGGUAGAGUACCUGCAGCUGUUUCCUCGGCUGCUCUCCACUAUGAGCCACACAAUAACAGCCUCUGUAAAGCUCACCAAUUGUAUAAUAAAAUUGGUGAUUUUUUGGUGGUUUCUUUUGUGUUUCGGUAAAAGUGACACAUUUAACUGAAUAUAGUGAGUAAAUGGGAAAUAUAGAUCAAUGCAGCUUUCAGUACAGAGGUAGCAUUGACUUCCAUCCCGUCUUGUUCAAGGAGACUGAUGCACUAUUAACAAUGAUGUUGUCAAUGAGAAUGGGUGAAAGGAGCGUAUGUGUGUGUUUGGGCAAAUGAGGCAGGGUUGGUGUGUAUGGGGGGGGUGUCAGCUUCAGCCCGAACACAAAGACUUCCGUAUCUACCUGCAUAACGGGGAUGUCUAUAAUCCUACCUGUAACGCCCCUACCUCCCCUUUCCCAUCUCUGCUGUCUUCCCCCGUACACACUCAUGCAAGCUGUCCAUCACAGCCUAGGAAUAGAGGGAAGGGGUGUGAGUCUGGAGAAUACGCAGUGACGACUUACAGACUGGCUACCUGACUAAACAUAGCAAAGCCCCCCUGUCUGUGGUUGAACUAUGCCUGCCGUGCCUUGUCUUUUCCCCGAGUCUGGUCACAGGGGUUGGUGGAGGGGGGGAGGGGGAUCCCCCUCACUGCCAUGUGGGGGCGCUGUGGAGCUACGCCUGCUGCAGGUGUGAGACCCUCAUGUUCAUUCUGCUCUGCACUGGAGGUUAAAAUUAAACAUUAAACAUGGAGGAAAAUGAGAAGAGGGGGUGCGCAUAGGGAGGGUCGGGGGAGAUUCUAUUCAUGAAACGUCUACUUUCUUUGCAAAAUCGGACAUAACAGUGGGUGGAUGAUUCAUUGCUCGUGAGGGGCGAACUAUUCCGGCAAAGGAUGCAUAUUUCGGGCUUUGACACCUUUUACUAACAGUCCCUGUUGUGUUGUAAAUACCCACGGUCCCGAGGGGCGGGGUAAAUUUGUGCUCGGUUAUCAACUCACCAAAGAAAAACUACUAUGUACAAAUCAAUUCAUCAUAUUCACAACAGCGAGAGGUCUCAGGAGGAGAUGUUCAGAUGCUGGCUUGGGUUGGGAGUGGGGGGGGUUAUUGUUAGGUAUCUCUGGGGUAAUGUGAAGCAAUGGCGUGUGGAUUUUGACUUGAUGCCAUUUUGUUACGGUUCAGCGUUAUUGAUGUUUGCCGUUUUUGGCACAACAGCAUCUUUGAGGUUUUUCCAGAGUUUAAUUUUACAAUGUCGCCACUGAUGGCAAACCCGGGCCCUCUCUUUGCCGUUUCAGGAACAAAUGUGAUGCAACCCAGUGGCUGACAUGUCCAAAGGGGGCGGAUUGAGCGGCUCAAUGCAGUGGCUCUGUGCCGCGCAGCCAGUUUUCGCUAUCAUGACCUUGUCAACUGACUGCCACUCAAGUCAGACCUCCGAGGGUUUCUGCUUCCUUAGCCGAGGCCGGCGCUGUGACGGACCAAAAAAAAUCUCACUGCUGCGCAAUUCCCUUGAGACGCCACAUGGCAGGUAGGCAGCAGUACGGAAAGGUUUUUCUGUGAACUUCAAGGAACGAUGCCCCGCCACCCCCCAAAAAACUGAAAACAGAGAGAGAUUACAGACUCAACACAUCGGCCAUGGCUUGAAUUUUCCUUCUGAAUUAAGCAAUCAGGGACAAUUGAAGGACUUGGUCAAAGAGUCACACAACAAAGUGGUUUUGUCAUUGUGCAACCAGAGAUUUUGUGUCGGGAAGAAAGUGAAUUAAUUAAAUUGCAUUGGUUAGCGCCUAAGUACUUGACACUGGUGCCCAAUUAAGAUCUGUAAGGCCUGGGGCACGAAACACUGGAGGAGCCUAUAGAUUUUUAAUAGCAAAUACAUGACAAAAGUGCUACUUUCGACUUUGAUAACCUUGUUUUAAUUACGCAAUUACAUGGCCGUCUCCUAACCCUGCUCUCUUUGGUGCAUUUAAAAGCAGCCUCCACAUUGAGGGCCAUUUGUUCAGCGCUACGUCAGCUUUGAACUCGUGGGAAAUAAUAUGCAAAAAUCUUUCCUUUGAUGCAGAGCAAAGUGCGCUUAUUAAACAAUUAUCAUAGUUAUUCUCGUAUUAAUCCCCCAGAGAGACUGCAAAUUAGCAGGAGGGUUUAAAAUAGACUUGUUUAAUAGGUGACUGUAUGCCCCGCGGCACAGCAAUGCGCCGCCGUCAACACACGUUGACGAUGUCAUGGUUCCCCGUUGCUGUUCUGUCAGGGAAGCUCCCCAUGAGGAAGACAUGACAGCUCUCCCCGGCUACGGAUACAGUGCUCUUGAGUCCUUUUUACCUCGAUAAGCCUCCGCAAUGACGGAGUGUUUCGGCCCACAUGGCACACACACACCGCAGUAAAGUGCAGUCAUUAAGAUGUUUGGUUUCCCGCGCGUCUCCAUCUGAGAUUGAGUGGUUUGGUGUUCUGACGCUGCGCAUCCCAGAGAGUGGCUGUCAGUCAGCAGCUCCAUUUCUAUAAAUUGUAUAGUAAAACUAAAAUAAGGGAGUCUAGACUGUAUGGCAGAAAUGACGGGAGCAAAGGUUAUAUGUGUGUCAGUGUACCUUCUGUCUGGGUCUGUCGGCCCUGGUUCAGACAGUUUGAAGAGAAAGAAUACUAAAUUAAUAUUUUAGCUAGCAGUUUGCUUCCACUUUUGUGUCGAUUGUGAGAGCGUAGGAGGUGAAAGAACUGAAAAAUAACUAGAAAAGGCAGUUUAUGAAGCAGUACAAGCUUUCUCUAAGGGUCAGAAACAAACCCCAGGGCCAGACGACAGACAGACAGACAGGCAGACAGUCAGACUCUGCAUACACACACAGGUCUGACAUUAGGUUCUGUUUUCUCCUGAUCAGUCAUGUAUUUCAGAAUUCAGAGCUACACACACUUAAUCCAAUAUAUAUUUUUACCCUCCUUGUGAUCUUGUGAGAGUCUCAUCCCGCCUCUGUUUGCCACUGUUGUUUGCGUGGUCAUCUGGAUGGUGUUUCUUGUCGUCCUGAUCUUCUCAUUUUUAUUUAAAGAUGUUUCUAUUAGGACAUUUUGGCUUUUUUUAAAUUCUGCUUGCUCAUAUGAUCGAUUGCAUCAUUUCUUUCAUCUCGUUUUUUCUACCAUCACAUUUGAUCAACUGUAUUUUUCCUUCUUGACGCUCAGCUGCUGUUUUAUUGCUGCACAAAUAGACCUACAACCUGUUUUUGUUUGUGCAUCUAAUCCACUUUUUCUGCCACCAUGUCUCGGGCUGACUAUAAAUCAUCUGGCUUAUUUUUCUCUAACGUUAUAACCCAUUGGAGUCGGAUGAAAGAAUUAACCACCUGCCCCCCCACACACACACACACGCAGUACAAUGAUAAUAGACGAAAGCUACGGAUGAAUAUUAAUAAAUGAUGAUGAACAUCCUUUACUCUCUCCAAAGACAAUCUCUCAGCUGGGGGAAAUGUAAAUGGUUACAAGCGGUAGUAGCAGGCAACGGAAGAGUCCAAUAAAAGUGAAGUAGGAGGGUCACAUAUAUUAGAAUUACACCCGAAAACAACUCUGCCUGCAAUGCCAAAAACACCCAAUAAAUUCUCUGUAAAAGGUAUUUACAGUUACUAACGCUCAUUCGAACACUCAGAUAUUGUGUGUUAUUUAUAGUAACCCAAGUACUUUACUUGUAACACCUACAUCAUUGCUUAUAAUAACAGAGGAUGUGAUAGGAGUGUCGAAGAUGGCGGUGGCUGAUUCUGAUUCUGCUGAUGUAAUGAUGAAUCAGCAAAGUACGAUGAAUGAAUUGCGGGCAAACAAGUAAUAAAGUAUGUUUUUGCCUGUCAUGGGGUUGGGGUGGGAGACUCAGACAAUGGUAGAGGAUUUAAGGUUGGAAUGUAUUCCUCAAAGCAGAUACAAACUAAAAGGCCAACAGGAACACAAGGAAACACAUGGUUUAAACACACUGGGGAGGUGCAGGCAGAAAAUCAUUAAGGUGGAGAAACACCGGGGCAGGAAGUGAAUUAAACCCAGGGACAUGAGAGGCAGGAAAUACAAGAAAACAAGAACAAGAAAACAAGAAAAUCCAACCCAACAUUAUGACAAUCCAUACAUAGUAUAUCUACAUAAUCUCCAUCGGAUGCCAGGAUAGGGUAUUCCUUAAACACUGUCUCGUUUCUCUCCUCAGCCCCCCCUUCUCUAACUGAGAAUGUUGGUGAGAAGAUAAUGUUAACUAUAAAUAUUAAAACCAGUCACAGAGAAUAUCAGGUUUAUUUUCUGCAUCAGAGCAGGGAGGAAUCGAGAGAGGAAUCAUCACUUUACGUCUGUUCAAGUGUGAGCUGUCGAUCCCAAUUGUGAUGUUGAAAAGUUGCAUGGACAUUAGUUCAGCAGAUUUGAAUUGUUAUAGCUUGUGAGUCAAAUCUGAUUCGGCAAAUCUGAAUAUUUUCCUCUGGAGUAGAAGUGUUUUUGAAGUGCCUUUGGGUUCUUUUGUAACAAUAGCAUCUUUCAAAAUGACAAACAUUGAAUACAAAUGCCAUAUAAUAACGAUAUUAACGAUAUUAAUAGUCUUCAUAUAUCCUACAUGUUUGGUUUGCAAUGAGCAGACAUUUAGCCUGGAGAACUUAUAGGAGAAAUCUGGUCAGCUCCGCACUGACUGGUGCACCCCCCAUCACCCCUCCUACUCUGGCCUCCUUCUCCAGCCCGAGGAGCUCUCCAUGGUGCUCACACAUUCACAGCAGAGCUUAACCGGACCCGAGGAACCUAAUCGAUCCACUUAUUAGAAAAUAGUUUUUUCCCAUAGAAAAGCUGGUCAGACUGGAAGCUGUGAUGAUCUGCAUCGUGAAGUGAGGAGGACGCACUCCCACCCCCUUUACACCUCACACAUGCUGUGGCAUCGUUAAGAUCACAAUGGGCUUUAUUGGCCAUGCAUGGGCAAUGUGCUCCUCCCUGUGAGUCCGGCCUUGAAGACGUCAUGCUCCUCAGAAUCACACUGGCCGUGGGUCAUUGAUCGGAGCAGUUACUCAGCCUCAGCCUCAAACGGCUUAUUUUGGAAAUCAACAUGACUCCAGGCUUUUGGUUUCUGAAGGGUGCAGCCUGACGGAGAGCACCUUUAAACAUCCCCUCAUACGAUCUGUGUUUUAACUGCAUUAUAUAUUCACUCAAUGCGCACUUACAGGCUUUGCGUCGGAUCUUCUACGACGUAUCCUUGUUUUCACGCACAAAUGGACUUUGAAUGGCCAUUGAGGAGAUGGUGGACACUGUGUACUACAAGAUGGGAUGACGACGGAACCAUCUCCAUGGCAACUGAGAAAACACAGAGGAAGACCGUGAAACACAGUUGAUACAAUCAAUUUUUCAAAUAAACAUCAAGUGUUCUAUUAAAUGUCUCUCUAGCGGUUCUGGAGCUUUUGAUUGCCAUCACAUGAGCUUCAUCAAUGUCAAGUUUGACCAGUGCUCCGUUAGUUGUGGAUAACUUGAAAACCUGGUUUUAUUUAGAAACAAAGACCUCAAAAUACAUGAUCUUCAUAAAAAUGGCUUUCAGAGGUGUCUCGUAACAAGUUUCAGCUUGUAUCCCAUCUCAUGCAUGUUUAUUGGAAUAGGUCCCCCCAGGACGGGACAUCUCAUGGAACAGGCCUUCUCUCCUCAGGGCCCACGCUACGCACUCUUUUUUUUGCAUCCCUUAAUCAGGUGGAUCAGACCUCCAUGCUUUAUUCUUGAUGGACACUGUACACACUGUAGAUGAUGAAGGGGAAACGUGUUUACCCGUUGGUAUCAUGACUACGCGCCCUUUGAGGGUGUGCUCAGCUCUUCACAGUGGAUGGCAUUGAUUGCACAGGGAGAGGGGGUUGUCAUCAGUCUGGCUACGUGGCUGCAGUUUCCAAAAAAAACUGAUAUGAAGAAUGAAAUAUCUAUAAUUGCUAGGACUGUCAACAUAAAUGCAUUAAUCUAUGCGAUUAAUGCGGCCGCGAUUAAUCCAACAAAAUAUUUUAACAUAGUUAACGUACGUUUGUUUACUUCUGGUUAACUGAAGUUGACCGUGGAAACAAAACGGCCGCUAACUGCAACCAGUUACAUCAAGAUGGAAAGAUUUUUGCAUUGGAAGUAAAACAAACAGAGGCGCAACAUACAGUGGUGCAGAGGAAUUACUCCACGUGUCAAACAGAAAGUGAGUGAGUGACAAACGGACCACUUAAAGCACUGCUAGGCUAAACUAGCUGCCAGGCUAAGGUAGCAGCUAGGCUGCCUCCAUCUCAACAUCUAACGUUACCCUGUGCGGCACACAGUCUGCAGAGGACCACCACGGUGUCCCUAAAAGACCUUGAUUUGAAAACGUUCUGGCUAAAUGUGGGGAGAUUGUUGGCACUUCAAAUACAGGCGUUACAUUAUGGAGAGUUGAGAGCAGAGUGCACGAGGACAACAGUUCAACAUGUUGAACCAUAAGGGGAAAUUCUACCUCCAAGAUGAUCAAAUGUGUGUAGUUUUGUGUUUAAAAUAACAUUAACAACAAUUACCGUUUGGGGUUAAUUGUACAGUAGUAGUAGUAGUUGUAGUAGUAGUUAUCCUUUAGAAGAAUUCCCUGCAUAAACGUAAUGCUGCAAUGUUUCUCAUUGUCAUAUUUAGUGAUUUGGGGAUUAACAUCUGGUAGUAUGCCCAGUGCCGAUACUCCGUUACCUCCAAAUGUUCUCUGAGCACCAGCCAAAGUUUGCUUACAAUGUAUGAUCGUGUUUAGAAGCUUGCAGCUCUUGGUUGAAGAUGGCUGAGGACUGUGUGAAAUGUGACAUUUUCACACACAAUAGCACAAACGGUAUAUUUGAACUCUCUUAUCAUCUUUUCACCACACAUGAAACACAUUGAAUUCAUACAAUUGAAGACACAAUAGCAGAAGCCCCGACCGCCCACUAUGAUAGAGGUUUAAAAAUACCUUUACAACUAUACUCAAUGAUCCAGUAUGGGAGCCAUUAUGUACCAGCCUGUGCUCAGUUUCCUCUCCUCUCAAGUUACAACUUGAAACAGUAUAUUCAUGUUCGCCCUGAUGUGAACAUUGUGUGCUUUAAAUGAUUUUGCCAGAGAACACUUUAAAAUGCCACUUCGAAAAAAGUGCAGGCUGAUCACUCCGAGAGGGAAAUGCAGCAAUGUUAUAUCACAGACACACACACACACACACACACACACACACACACACACACACACACACACACACACACACACACACACACACACUAAUCUGCUUCAUAUUGCUUUUAGAAAGGCUCAGAGAAAGUUUGAUUAAAUAAAAUGCAAAUCACAGUGAUUUUACACUUGACUUUGAAUGUAACUGAGAUGUUGCUUCAUUGGUAUUCAGCCGAGCAUUAUAGUGAUCCUUACUGCACAAUACAAAUGAAGCUGCAGAGGCUCUCAGCAUGAAUACGCACAAGGGAAUGUCAUUCAGCUCUGUCUUCUCCAUCAUUAUGUACACCUCACCAUCUAUUGUUUGGAAUCCAAACACUCUUUGAGCCAGCAGGAAUCCUGUUAUUGUGGAUCAGAGGAGAAGGGGUCAGGCUGGCCCUGGGAGCUCGAAGCACUGCGAAUGAGAAAACAUAUGCAAGUAGGCAAAACACAAGCACAAGAAAUCAUUAUCCCCAGGUUCCCAACAAAAUGCUACAAAUGGAGAAAAGACCCAUUGAUGUGCAUGAAUAGGGAGACAUUUUCUUACUUUGCUUCUGUUUGUAGAGCAUUGAGCUUUAAAAGAAAAAAUCAUAUUUGAGCAUGAGUGGUUACAUUGUGUCAUGUUAUUGUUAUAUACCUGCUACGACCAUGUAAUAACUGUUAAGAGGUCCUGCUCCUGUCUGUGCAGUCACAUCGCUCCCGGAGAGGAGGAAAGAGGGUCGGAGCUUUUAGAUAUACAUAGGUUUUAGUGUUUUUCCAACUACAUUUGGAUCUUUUAUUAUUUUGUCACCGUAUUGGGUGUGAUAUCAAGCCUAUUGCCGUUUGAUUGCUUCAGUGCUGUCUCGUUUAUGCAGAUUUUACAAGUUUUAUAUCCCAUCCCCAUCUUUUAAACCAAUCUUUUUCUGCAGACUACCUGAUGUUUCAACCUGCUGGCUUUCGAAGUCUCCGCUCAGCACCACCUCAGCUGAUAGAAGAUCUGCUCCACCCUUUGGUAGCCACACUGUUUACAGCAGUACAGCCCCCCCAGUCUUCAUGCACGGAUAUUUAAUGUCAAAAGAUUUCUGGCUUUUCAUUUGAAAUAUUUGCAAGAAUUGUUGGUUUUAUUUUAGCGGCCAAAAAAUCUGCAAAUUGAGGAAGUGAUGACUAAAUGAAAACAAUUUGGGUAUUUGUAGCAAAGUGGUAUUCAUGACCAACCACCAUUACUGAUGCCCUUCUGAUGGCAUUAUUGUAUUAUCAAGACAACAGGUAAAUAAGGUCAACAUUGAUUGUACUUGUUUACUUUCAACUGCAGUUAAAAAUAGAUCGCAUUGAUUGAUGUUAAUGCAUGUGUUCUGAAGUGUUUAUUUUUUCAUAAAAAAUGUUUCUGCAUCCCCAUAGACUAAGCCUUAAAGUUAGUUAUAGCCAAAGCCUCUACCAUUUACUCAGAACUACUCUUAGGUCUAAUUCUUAAAUGUUUCAGACUGAUAUGAAAAUUACCUUUAAACCUUAAGCUGUCAUUACAUUCACUUACAGCAACUUCAUUCAUUUUGGAGAUGUGUAAUGACAAAAGCACAGGUUUGCAAGAUCUUUGUCAACUGUCUAAAUAUCUAAAUGUAACUGCAGUGUUCCCCAAUAGGUUGAUCGCGAUCAACCAGUCUGUCUUGAAGGCAGUACCAGUCGAUCGCAUGCAAUCAAUUAAAAGAAUGACCCAUAUGCGCGGCCCAUUCCCGCGGGAGAUGACCGGAACUAAUGCUAAUUAGCGACCCUUGCUUACUAACGGACGCAUUUAAUUUUAUUCUAAAGAAUGUGCGGGAUGCUUGUGACGGUUCCCUCCUUGUGACAGAUGAGAGGCUAGUUGUUUUCUCCAUAUCGACUCGUUUUGCGCUGACUUCAGUCCUGCUGUUCCACUUGGUAACCGUUAUUACGGUCCCCCCCCCCCCCGCCGGGCGGUCCUCCAUGGGGAGGGAGGAGAUCGCCAUGACUUGGUCAGUUGAAAAGUAGCUCGCGAGCCGGAAAAGUGUGGGCACCCCUGGUCUACAGGGACACCGGUGAUUGCCUUGGUCUCUGUGGAGGUUCAUUUUCGGCUUGGGGUUCCAAGUGCUCGUAGCAGCUGUUCAGUCUCUGUGUCUCCUCUUGUGUAUCUGUGUAAAUAAGCAAUGCCUUUUUUCAGAUUGGAUCACAGUAGAUUGGACCACACCGGCUGAGAGGUCUUCUGGGAUGCUUGGCUCCAUCUGUUCCGGUACCAAGCAUUCAUCAUGCAGCCAAGUAGUAAGUCUGGUCAUAUAGUGAAACAAAUAUCAUUGAAAAUGUAUGUGUUAAGCACUUAGGACACAUCUUUUAUAGUAUUUUUAUUGGACACUCCCUGCCUGCUACAGGUUUCUAAGCCAAACCUACAAUACCAAUGUUGUGCUGCAAAAGUGGAAAUAACACCUGAAUAGUCUUGUAGCCAAUCUCAAGAUACCACAUGUGAGUUCAUAGAUGCAGUAAGCCAGGCCUAGAUGUUCCACCACUGGUCCAGGCACUGACCCAUAAAGAAAUGACCAGAUGUUAAAAUGCUCCUUUCCUAUUACCUAAGGGUUGAUAUUGUCCAAUAGCACAACAGCUCCUUGUGCUUUAUCAACCUGUUCACAAUCAGUCACUUUUAUGGCUUGUAAGGGAAAAAUGUGUUUUGUGGGUUCCAACACGUUUCAAUCCCUCGUUUCCAUAUAAUCAUAAUUAGUGUUCAGAUCUUUAUGUGUUCAGAUCUUUAUGUUCACGUUUGUUUAAUGUGACUAAAUACGCUUUGGCGUUCAACUGAACACAGUGUGUUUUGGAACUCAUCCAUCCAAGUUGUUUGAUGAUGUAUUUCUUUGUCCAGCCAUAUUUAGAAACUUGGAGAGACGAGGUGGAGGCCAACAUGAGGUUACUAUAAACGGAUAGAGGAUCAUUUGGAGCAUUGUGUUAAAAACAUCAAGAAACUGGUUAUGAUCAGAACCCAAAUAAAGGAGAUGGAGACGUCCCCCCCAAUAUGAAAUGAAUGAAUGCGUCAAAUGUGGUAUUAUUAUGUACAACUGCCUCGUAUGUGUCUUUCUGGAAAGAGCUUGUUUCAUUAGAGUCUGUGUGAUUCCAAUACAUCUCUGUGAUUUGAAACAUCUGAAUGUCCAGUGUGUUCUGUGUGGGGGUGUUACUGAAAGUCCUACGUACCUCACCACAUGUUAAAGUUAGAAGAUAGAGUUAAUUAGUCAGAAGGUUGUACAAACUGAAAUCCACCACCAAAGAGGUUGUGGUCUGUCCCUUUUGUUUCUCUUUGACUCCGUUUUACAUAGCGCUUGUGCAGCUACAUUUUGAGUUUUAAGUUCAGCUUUUAGCUUCUCUUCUAUGGUAUGAUGAAGCGAUUAAGAAGACUCAACCUCCCCCGCUUACGUUGACCGAGAUGAUAACCCCCCCUUCUUUUGUGUUUGAUGUUGAGUUCCCUUGGUGAUAGUGGUAUUUGGGGGCUAUUGUCAAAUCUAUCACACUAGAUUCCAUCUUUCACCUGUUGCUCUUUUUUGUCUGAAGUGAGCACAAUGUUCCCCUCUCACACUCUCCACAGUAAUGACCCAAUGUUCUGAAAGAAGAAAAGCCUGAGUCCUUGGGGGAUGAGGGGGGCGGCCCAAGCGUGGACUGUAUGCCCCGAGGCCCUCUCGCUCCGCUUAUAGAAAAGUCCAUUUUAGCUUCCUCACACGCUGACCUGCAACCACAAACAGUGGAAGCUGAUUAAAAAUAUGGCAUUUCUCUUUUUGCUACACAACAUGAUGUAUGUGGCAUUCACAGUAUCUAAUAUCAUAUAGGUAGUGUGUCCAAAAGCACAGUACACCACAUUGGCAUCUGUCAAGCAACAUCGUUGCCAACCUUGCACCAGCAAAUUCUUAUGAUGGUGAGUGAUGACUAAGUAUUCAUUAUUUUGAAAUGAUUUAGUUGGCUAACGUUAGCUAGUUCUGAUUAGUUAGCUAUGGGGGCGUGCUAGCUAACCUAGCUAAGUUAGCCAAUGUUAGACAGAGUGCAGUCGGUGAGAGAAUUUUUUGGAAAGGGGGUGUGGCUUAUCUCUGUAAAGGCAGUUAUCAUUUCCGCUAUCCACUAUGGAAAUACACUAUUUGUGCUCUGUACCUGUUGUGGAAAUAACACAAACGUUGCACAUUAACUUACGAUCUUUCAAUCUGAGCUGUCUGUCUCGGUAAGUGACAGUUUCAUAAAGUGUAUUCACGCUUUGGCAGUAGGACGGCGGCGAUAACGAGCGGAGGAGAGGAUCUCAAUGCUGAUUGGCUUUCGCAGGACAGCGUUGUUGAAAUAUUUUACCUUUGGUGAAAAAGCUAUUCAUUCGCUUCUCUCCUUUAGCUUUUUCGGGUCCCCCAUGCAGCAUUGUGUUGAGAAUUUGCGUUGAAAAUUUGCUUCCUCCACAAACAUGCGCUUCUGUGCAUUGACUUUGCAUGGAAUCUACUCAUUCAAAUAAUUUGCUUCGCUUUUGCUGUGAACAUUAGUGAGACGCAGUUGACUGGUCUCAAGGUUUAAAUAUUUAGUGUUUUGUUUUUACAGAAGCAUGAAGUAAUCGGCUCAAUAACAUUCUGCGUUCUGCAAAAUGGUCAAGCUAAACACGAGAAACUAAAAAUAAAAUUGAAUGAGUCUGAUUUAUGUUUUCUGUUUGAUUUGGUUCAAAAGAAAACUGUACAGAAUCUGUACACUACUGCCUAAUAGUCUUAUUAGUGCUAUUUGAUGACAAUUACACAUACAGGAAAAUAAGUUAAUUUAUUAUUUUUAACAAAGGUUGAAUGUUAUUUCACAAGUUUCAUAAAAUGCCCCCAAUUUCUUAUGAAAUUGGUUUUUAGUCAGUGGGGGCAAAAAUUCUGCUAUUUUUGCACUCUCACAUCUGUCAAGGGUUACCAUAUUAAAAGUUAUAACUGAGCCGUCAUUUUAUGGUCACAAUAUUGAAAUGCAGGUGCUGCCGGACAGAUGCCAUUAGAUAUUAAAUGUUUCAUCACAGUGAAUGUGGCAGCAUGCUGCUUGUGUGGUUAUCACAAAGUCCCUUGAUAUCUGAAUAUUUUGCUUAGACAUUUUUCUUAAAUUUGACUCCACAAUCUAACACACACACACUCACCUACACAUACACCCUUCUUAGAUCUCAUCCACACUUGUCGGCUGCAUCUUUCACAGUCUAAAUUUAGCUUACCAGAUUUAAUUCAAUAAACCACCUGUCUUCUCUUGCAGUCACCUCACUGCUUCAAGGUUUUCUUCUUAGCAUUUGCAUAGUAA
Gasterosteus aculeatus aculeatus (three-spined stickleback) is the source of this 16970-nucleotide long non-coding RNA. The record is from Ensembl. NCBI's taxonomy places the organism in Eukaryota, Metazoa, Chordata, Actinopteri, Perciformes, Gasterosteidae.